RNAcentral lists this ribosomal RNA (438 nucleotides) under Neofabraea malicorticis. Its description in RNAcentral is "eukaryotic LSU rRNA". The stretch from base 94 to 247 matches the Rfam family "5.8S ribosomal RNA". The record is from RNAcentral. Lineage: Eukaryota; Fungi; Ascomycota; Leotiomycetes; Helotiales; Dermateaceae.
CCCGCCUCGGCCACCGGCUCCGGCUGGUGAGCGCCCGCCAGAGGACCCCAAACUCUGAAAUUUAGUGUCGUCUGAGUACUAUAUAAUAGUUAAAACUUUCAACAACGGAUCUCUUGGUUCUGGCAUCGAUGAAGAACGCAGCGAAAUGCGAUAAGUAAUGUGAAUUGCAGAAUUCAGUGAAUCAUCGAAUCUUUGAACGCACAUUGCGCCCCUUGGUAUUCCGGGGGGCAUGCCUGUUCGAGCGUCAUUACAACCCUCAAGCUCUGCUUGGUAUUGGGCGUCCCCGGCAACGGGGUGCCCUAAAAUCAGUGGCGGUGCCGUCUGGCUCUAAGCGUAGUAAAUCUCUCGCUCUGGACGCCCGGUGGAUGCUCGCCAGUAACCCCCAAUUUUUUACAGGUUGACCUCGGAUCAGGUAGGGAUACCCGCUGAACUUAAGCA